Non-coding RNA from Schizosaccharomyces pombe (fission yeast), 209 nucleotides. Lineage: Eukaryota; Fungi; Ascomycota; Schizosaccharomycetes; Schizosaccharomycetales; Schizosaccharomycetaceae. The record is from the annotation of a GenBank genome assembly.
AACAAUCUGAUAUCCCUGUAAAUCCUGAAAGCAAAUAAAGACUCCAGAAGCAAUCAAAAUCGUAGAAUUUUUACCCUAUAUUUCUAAAAAAUUAAUGCACUUUAAAGAAAAUACAGAAAUAUGAGAAAACAAGAAUCGUUUAACGCUUGCAGUCGGAUAUCAGCAUGUAUGUACUCAACGCGUUCGAAUGCACAAACCCGCUUUGUCAC